Molecule: ribosomal RNA, 400 nt
Filed under: uncultured bacterium
Lineage: Bacteria
Description: bacterial SSU rRNA
Rfam family: Bacterial small subunit ribosomal RNA
Source: RNAcentral
GGGGAAUCUUGCACAAUGGGGGAAACCCUGAUGCAGCGACGCCGCGUGAACGAUGAAGCCCUUCGGGGUGUAAAGUUCUUUCGACGGGGACGAUAAUGACGGUACCCGGAGAAGAAGCUGCGGCUAACUACGUGCCAGCAGCCACGGUAAUACGUAGGCAGCAAGCGUUGUUCGGAAUUACUGGGCGUAAAGAGUGCGUAGGCGGUUAACUAAGUUUGGUGUGAAAUCUCCCGGCUUAACUGGGAGGGUGCGCCGAAAACUGGCUAGCUAGAGUGUGGGAGAGGAUAGUGGAAUUCCUGGUGUAGCGGUGAAAUGCGUAGAUAUCAGGAGGAACACCUGUGGUGUAGACGGCUAUCUGGACCAUGACUGACGCUGAGGCACGAAAGCGUGGGUAGCAAAC